UCCUACGUACCCUUAGGUCGAGGAUAGCCCCGGGAAACUGGGAGUAAUACUCGAUAAUGUCUCCGGACCAAAGCCUUCGGGCGCCUUUGGAGCGAGGAACGUCCUAUCAGGUUGUUGGUGAGGUAACGGCUCACCAAGCCAAAGACGGGUAGCGGGUGUGAGAGCAUGACCCGCAGUAUCGGGACUGAGACACUGCCCGGACUCCUACGGGAGGCUGCAGUAACGAAUAUUCCGCAAUGCGCGAAAGCGUGACGGAGCAAUGCCGCGUGUGGGAUGAAGCUUUUCGGAGUGUAAACCACUGUCAGAGUUUAGGAACACAAUGACCAGACUCAAAGGAAGGGCCGGCUAACUUCGUGCCAGCAGCCGCGGUAAUACGAAGGGCCCGAGCGUUAAUCGGAAUCACUGGGCUUAAAGCGUGUGUAGGCGGACAUGAAGGCGAUUUGUGAAAUCCCUCGUCUCAAACGAGGAACUGCAGGUCGAACCGUAUGUCUUGAGACAGGUAGAGGUGGUCGGAACCGUAGGUGGAGUGGUGAUAUGCGUUGAUAUCU
This 548-nucleotide ribosomal RNA is filed under the name uncultured bacterium. RNAcentral's name for it is "bacterial SSU rRNA". It matches the Rfam family "Bacterial small subunit ribosomal RNA", at positions 119 to 699 of the family's 1533-position model. The record is from RNAcentral.